Molecule: long non-coding RNA, 147 nt
Organism: Bufo bufo (common toad)
Lineage: Eukaryota; Metazoa; Chordata; Amphibia; Anura; Bufonidae
Exons: 3
Source: RefSeq, a predicted model, not a curated record
CUGAACUCCAAAUACAGCAAUCAGAAUAACUCCCUGGAUCAAUGACCUCUCCAGAAAUCUAAUAACAAUAAUCUGUAAUAUUAUUACAUUCCAGAAAUACAUCCAGGUCCCUCUUGAACUAUUUUAGUGAGUUCACCGUCUCCACCU